RNAcentral lists this small RNA (691 nucleotides) under Pan troglodytes (chimpanzee). Its description in RNAcentral is "retained intron". Lineage: Eukaryota; Metazoa; Chordata; Mammalia; Primates; Hominidae. The record is from RNAcentral.
CAAGGCAGGGUCCUGGGCUGCGUUUGGAGUGGGUUAAAAGGCAGCCCUGGGGCCUGGGCUUUUGGCCUCGACCUUAAGAUGAACAUUACACCUACGGAGGCUUGAGAGCAGGGACUUUAAGGCAUGAAGUCCCUACUCAUGCAUGAACAGCUCUUUUAACUUGGGGGUGUAUCGUUUUCAGGGUAUUGCAGGUUCCGACGGUCUUCCUGGGGAUAAAGGAGAACUGGGUCCCAGCGGCCUGGUCGGACCCAAAGGAGAGUCUGGCAGUCGAGGGGAGCUGGGCCCCAAAGGCACCCAGGGUCCCAACGGCACCAGCGGUGUUCAGGGUGUCCCCGGGCCCCCCGGUCCUCUGGGCCUGCAGGGCGUCCCGGGUGUUCCUGGCAUCACGGGGAAGCCGGGAGUUCCGGUACGUCGCUUUUCCGGCUUUUCCAGCUUUCACAGGGUUGAGAUCGUGUUUUUUCCGGAAGGAAGUUACUUUGCGGGGUGACGGUGGGAAUGCCUCACCGAGGCUGCCGCCCCCAUGCUGACGAAUGUGUGGGGUGAAUUCCAGGGGAAGGAGGCCAGCGAGCAGCGCAUCAGGGAGCUGUGUGGGGGGAUGAUCAGCGAACAAAUUGCACAGUUAGCCGCGCACCUAAGGAAGCCUUUGGCACCCGGGUCCAUUGGCCGGCCCGGUCCAGCUGGCCCCCCUGGG